Molecule: non-coding RNA, 153 nt
Filed under: Klebsiella pneumoniae
Lineage: Bacteria; Pseudomonadati; Pseudomonadota; Gammaproteobacteria; Enterobacterales; Enterobacteriaceae
Source: RNAcentral
AAAGUCCCCGACCAUUGAAGGACCAGCAAUCCACAAGGUCCCCGAGUCAUGCGUUGCAUACCGCGAGGUAUGGGGCGAAGCGUUGAUUUCGCCAGAUACGACGGCGUUCUUUGCCGUGUUUUUUGACUUUCCACUCGCCUUCACCGAAGACCU